Molecule: ribosomal RNA, 478 nt
Filed under: uncultured bacterium
Lineage: Bacteria
Description: partial 16S ribosomal RNA
Rfam family: Bacterial small subunit ribosomal RNA
Source: RNAcentral
GAUGAACGCUAGCGGCAGGCCUAACACAUGCAAGUCGAGGGAGAAGCCCUUUCGGGGGCAGAAACCGGCGCACGGGUGCGUAACGCGUAUGCAACCUACCUUUCACAGGGGGAUAGCCCGAAGAAAUUUGGAUUAAUACCCCAUAAUAUUAUUGGAUGGCAUCAUUUGAUAAUUAAAACUGCGGUGGUGAAAGAUGGGCAUGCGUCCUAUUAGCUAGUUGGAGUGGUAACGGCACCCCAAGGCUACGAUAGGUAGGGGUCCUGAGAGGGAGAUCCCCCACACUGGUACUGAGACAGGGACCAGACUCCUACGGGAGGCAGCAGUGAGGAAUAUUGGUCAAUGGUCGGAAGACUGAACCAGCCAUGCCGCGUGCAGGAAGAAUGCAUUAUGGGUUGUAAACUGCUUUUAUAUGGGAAGAAUAAGGCGUACGUGUACGUUGAUGACGGUACCAUAUGAAUAAGCAUCGGCUAACUCCGUG